UACGAAGGGGGCUAGCGUUGUUCGGAAUUACUGGGCGUAAAGGGCGCGCAGGCGGCUCUGAAAGUCAGAUGUGAAAGCCCCGGGCUUAACCUGGGAAUUGCAUUUGAUACUCUGGAGCUUGAGUACGGGAGAGGAGAGUGGAAUUCCCAGUGUAGAGGUGAAAUUCGUAGAUAUUGGGAAGAACACCGGUGGCGAAGGCGGCUCACUGGCUCGUAACUGACGCUCAUGCACGACAGCGUGGGGAUCAAACAGG
RNAcentral lists this ribosomal RNA (253 nucleotides) under uncultured bacterium. Its description in RNAcentral is "partial 16S ribosomal RNA". It matches the Rfam family "Bacterial small subunit ribosomal RNA", at positions 524 to 776 of the family's 1533-position model. The record is from RNAcentral.